AGAUGUGAGACCGAUCUGGCUGCGACAUCUGUCACCCCACAGAUCGCCAGGGUUGACUCAGCUGAUCUGGCUGGCUAGGCGGGUGUCCCUACCUGCCUCUCUCACCACUCUAUGUGAGGCCCUUCCAAAGCUCCCAACCAGGUCAAAGAGGGCAACCACCCCCAUAGAGGGACCGUUUCCUGGGUCACGGGUAUGCAGGUAGCUGCGUCCUCCUGCUAGAACCUCCAAACGAGCUCUCAAAAUAAAAAAAUACAAAUAGAACAAUGUCCAUCAGGCAAAAGUAUAAACAAUGUUGUGCUAU
Non-coding RNA from Heterocephalus glaber (naked mole-rat), 301 nucleotides. The record is from Rfam. NCBI's taxonomy places the organism in Eukaryota, Metazoa, Chordata, Mammalia, Rodentia, Bathyergidae.